Oncorhynchus tshawytscha (Chinook salmon) is the source of this 490-nucleotide long non-coding RNA. NCBI's taxonomy places the organism in Eukaryota, Metazoa, Chordata, Actinopteri, Salmoniformes, Salmonidae. The record is from Ensembl.
AUCAGCUUGCUAUAUUCACAGUAGCUAGUUACAAUGAUUAAUGCAUUAAGAUAGCUAACUCCAAAUGUAGCUAGAUAGGUAGCAAGCUCAACAGCCAUGAGAAGGGAGAGUAAGCUACUCUGGAUAGGGCAGGUACCUUUGCGGGAGGACAUGAAACUAUUCUCCAUUUCAAUCCCUGUCCUUAGCAAUAAAAACGGAAGACAGACCUGAAUAUUAUGUUGCUAUAUCUCUCUAUCUAACUUAAGUAUAAUGCAGCCUGUUACUUUGUUUUCUGUCCUCAGAUACAGAGGUCUGUCAAACCCUGUCUGCAGAAUGAGGUACCAAUGAAUGUCCCAAAAGAGAUAUCAGCCAUAUGUACCCAUUUUGCAGCUGAUAAUGGAAUCCAACGCAAAUGCAGCCAUAGGCCUACAGCAGUGGUUCCCAAUUCCAGUUCUCGAAUACCCCCAACAGCACACAUUUUUGUUGUAGCCCCAUACAAACAUAGCUGACU